This 253-nucleotide ribosomal RNA is filed under the name uncultured bacterium. RNAcentral describes it as "partial 16S ribosomal RNA". It matches the Rfam family "Bacterial small subunit ribosomal RNA", at positions 524 to 776 of the family's 1533-position model. The record is from RNAcentral.
UACGAAGGGGGCAAGCGUUGUUCGGAAUUACUGGGCGUAAAGGGCGCGUAGGCGGCCUGUUGCGUCGGGUGUGAAAGCCCCGGGCUCAACCUGGGAGGUGCACUCGAUACGGGCGGGCUGGAAUCCGGGAGAGGAUGGUGGAAUUCCCAGUGUAGAGGUGAAAUUCGUAGAUAUUGGGAAGAACACCGGUGGCGAAGGCGGCCAUCUGGCCCGGAAUUGACGCUGAGGCGCGAAAGCGUGGGGAGCAAACAGG